RNAcentral lists this ribosomal RNA (600 nucleotides) under uncultured bacterium. Its description in RNAcentral is "bacterial SSU rRNA". It matches the Rfam family "Bacterial small subunit ribosomal RNA", at positions 99 to 699 of the family's 1533-position model. The record is from RNAcentral.
CGUACGGGUGCGGAACACGUGUGCAACUUGCCUUUAUCUGGGGGAUAGCCUUUCGAAAGGAAGAUUAAUACCCCAUAAUAUGUUGAAUGGCAUCAUUCGACAUUGAAAACUCCGGUGGAUAGGGAUGGGCACGCGCAAGAUUAGAUAGUUGGUGAGGUAACGGCUCACCAAGUCUACGAUCUUUAGGGGGCCUGAGAGGGUGAUCCCCCACACUGGUACUGAGACACGGACCAGACUCCUACGGGAGGCAGCAGUGAGGAAUAUUGGACCAAUAGUGAGAGCCUGAUCCAGCCAUCCCGCGUGAAGGACGACUGGCCUAUGGGUUGUAAACUUCUUUUGUAUAGGGAUAAACCUACCCUCGUGAGGGUAGCUGAAGGUACUAUACGAAUAAGCACCGGCUAACUCCGUGCCAGCAGCCGCGGUAAUACGGAGGGUGCAAGCGUUAUCCGGAUUCAUUGGGUUUAAAGGGUCCGUAGGCGGAUCUGUAAGUCAGUGGUGAAAUCUCACAGCUUAACUGUGAAACUGCCAUUGAUACUGCAGGUCUUGAGUGUUGUUGAAGUAGCUGGAAUAAGUAGUGUAGCGGUGAAAUGCAUAGAUUUA